AGUGAACGCUGGCGGUAGGCCUAACACAUGCAAGUCGAACGGCAGCACAGUAAGAGCUUGCUCUUACGGGUGGCGAGUGGCGGACGGGUGAGGAAUACAUCGGAAUCUACUUUUUCGUGGGGGAUAACGUAGGGAAACUUACGCUAAUACCGCAUACGACCUACGGGUGAAAGCAGGGGAUCUUCGGACCUUGCGCGAUUGAAUGAGCCGAUGUCGGAUUAGCUAGUUGGCGGGGUAAAGGCCCACCAAGGCGACGAUCCGUAGCUGGUCUGAGAGGAUGAUCAGCAACACUGGAACUGAGACACGGUCCAGACUCCUACGGGAGGCAGCAGUGGGGAAUAUUGGACAAUGGGCGCAAGCCUGAUCCAGCCAUACCGCGUGGGUGAAGAAGGCCUUCGGGUUGUAAAGCCCUUUUGUUGGGAAAGAAAAGCAGCAGGUUAAUACCCCGCUGUUCGGACGGUACCCAAAGAAUAAGCACCGGCUAACUUCGU
This 491-nucleotide ribosomal RNA is filed under the name uncultured bacterium. RNAcentral describes it as "partial 16S ribosomal RNA". It matches the Rfam family "Bacterial small subunit ribosomal RNA", at positions 29 to 506 of the family's 1533-position model. The record is from RNAcentral.